AAUAAUUAGUUCAGUACCUUCAUUUUUUUUUUUUUUUUGAGAGAGAGAUAGGUAGCACGCUACCCGCUUCGUUUAUUUCAUUUAGAAAUAAACUUAGCUGGAAAUGUGAAUCAACUAGGAUUCGAACUUGGGUCUCGGGUAUCAAUUAUCAAGCCCUUUGCCACUUGCUCUAAGGACGGUCGGUAGUACCUUCAAUUAUUAAAGUAGAAGUUUCAAAUUAUAACUGCUUCGGUAUUGCAAUUGCUUAUUUUAGUUUUUUGCUACAG
This 266-nucleotide long non-coding RNA is filed under the name Ananas comosus (pineapple). RNAcentral's name for it is "long non-coding RNA (ACOM_LNC015882)". Lineage: Eukaryota; Viridiplantae; Streptophyta; Magnoliopsida; Poales; Bromeliaceae. The record is from RNAcentral.